GAUGAACGCUGGCGGCGUGCCUAAUACAUGCAAGUCGAGCGAACAGACGAGGAGCUUGCUCCUCUGACGUUAGCGGCGGACGGGUGAGUAACACGUGGAUAACCUACCUAUAAGACUGGGAUAACUUCGGGAAACCGGAGCUAAUACCGGAUAAUAUAUUGAACCGCAUGGUUCAAUAGUGAAAGACGGUUUUGCUGUCACUUAUAGAUGGAUCCGCGCCGCAUUAGCUAGUUGGUAAGGUAACGGCUUACCAAGGCAACGAUGCGUAGCCGACCUGAGAGGGUGAUCGGCAACACUGGAACUGAGACACGGUCAAGAAUCCUACGGGAGGCAGCAGUAGGGAAUCUUCCGCAAUGGGCGAAAGCCUGACGGAGCAACGCCGCGUGAGUGAGGAAGGUCUUCGGAUAGUAAAACUCUGUUAUUAGGGAAGAACAAAUGUGUAAGUAACUAUGCACGUCUUGACGGUACCUAAUCAGAAAGCCACGGCUAACUACGUG
Molecule: ribosomal RNA, 497 nt
Filed under: uncultured bacterium
Lineage: Bacteria
Description: partial 16S ribosomal RNA
Rfam family: Bacterial small subunit ribosomal RNA
Source: RNAcentral